Long non-coding RNA from Papaver somniferum (opium poppy), 324 nucleotides. RefSeq lists it as uncharacterized. The transcript has 2 exons. Lineage: Eukaryota; Viridiplantae; Streptophyta; Magnoliopsida; Ranunculales; Papaveraceae. The record is from RefSeq and is a predicted model, not a curated record.
GAUAAUUGAAAAUGACCACUCUGCUUUGGUGCUUUUAAUCUUCUUCCACAAUAAGAACUUCAAAUUGCACUUGAAGAGUUACUCAUCAGCCAUUGGGUUAUACAGCCAAAGUGUAGGUUAAGAAAAAGGGAAGAAACAAGAAAUGAAUCUCCAUAUUCUAAUGGGAAAAAUAGGAUCAGUAGCUUACCUGAUGAAAUAAUUCACUGCAUCAUGUCUUUUAAUGAUACCAAAAAUGUAGUCCAAACUUGUGUUUUGUCCAAAAGAUGGAUUCCUAUUUGGAAAUAUGUCCCAUAUCUUAGCAUCAAUGAAAGUUCAUUUCCUCUA